RNAcentral lists this ribosomal RNA (253 nucleotides) under uncultured bacterium. RNAcentral's name for it is "partial 16S ribosomal RNA". It matches the Rfam family "Bacterial small subunit ribosomal RNA", at positions 524 to 776 of the family's 1533-position model. The record is from RNAcentral.
UACAGAGGGUGCGAGCGUUAAUCGGAAUUACUGGGCGUAAAGCGCACGUAGUCGGCUUUGCAAGUCGGGUGUGAAAGCCCCGGGCUCAACCUGGGAACUGCGCUCGAUACUGCGGAGCUCGAGUACGAGAGAGGGGGGUGGAAUUCCAGGUGUAGCGGUGAAAUGCGUAGAGAUCUGGAGGAACACCGGUGGCGAAGGCGGCCCCCUGGUUCGAUACUGACGCUGAGGUGCGAAAGCGUGGGGAGCAAACAGG